CCUUACCCACUGGAUAUCAUUAUCUCACAAGUCAGUUCUGUGUUUACCUCUCUGUCGAACAGUGUUUUAGUCUUCUAGUGAUCGCAAAACGUUACUAACAGUCUUAAUAAUCAAUACGUUUGGCAAUCAAGUGAUUUAGGCUUUUCUGGAAAAGUGUUCGUAUUUUAAAAUUGGCUUGGUAAACUAUAACAGUAAUGUUCCCAAUUGUUUAUCUGAGCACUAUUUUGGUUAUGAUGUUGUUUAUUUUCAUCUGUGAAUCGAUCGUGGUUAUGAUUUCUUUUCAGGAGUGAUAUCGGCUUUUUGCGGUAUGUUUUGACCACAGAAAUAGCAAAAUCAUUAUUACAUUGCUGUAGUAGGGUGAUUAUACUGGGAUUCUCAAAUCACGGCUGCCAUAAAACCGACCUUCUGGAGACCAGGAAGAAGCAGAAUCAGUGUUGCCAACAUUCGUGCGAUCAGGUGGUGCCAACCCUUCGCAUCCGCUUUCUCCGCCGUCUCACUCCGAGACAUGACGCUGUUCGACAACCUCCUCAGGAGGAUCACGGAGUUCCUGGUAGUUCUUCAGAUGUUCUUGAUGGCCUCGUGUUGGCCCACGCCAUUGGACGAGUACGAGCACGACGAGUACGAAGAGGAAGUCGAGGAACCCCAAGUGCCAGACGUUAGGAGAAGGAACCAGCUGGGAACUGUGAAUGGAUAGGACAGAAGUUACCUGACCAAGGGGAUCCUGAAUUAACUACAUACUGACAUCGGAACCUUUCCUUUAUAAUAAACUGCAGAACACUGACUAUUGACUAUUGGCAAGUACAGUCAAGUGUGAGGUUAUAAUACCUGGUAAGCGUUAAACACAGUUAAAGGUAACUCGAAAAUGACGAAUUUUGAAUGAACUUGAUCAAAACAGCUGUUUUAUGAAUUAUAAAACAUUGUUAUUUCCUAAAUAUGAAAACGAGGUUGAUAACAUACUUUCCUUAUUUGUUAAAAUAGAAAAUAUUUUAGUUUUGUUUCUUUACCAACAUAAUAAGGAAAGUAGUGUAGUUUUACGUUUGAUGUAAUGUUGUUUUAUUGUUGAUAUAAAUAUUUUAUUGUUUAUAAACAUCUCCUUAUUUACCUUAACGACGUGCACCAUUGAUGUAAAUAUUUUGUAUAACGUAACGCACAAAAAAGUCUGGUCAAUAAAAACAAAAUGCGCU
Long non-coding RNA from Macrosteles quadrilineatus (aster leafhopper), 1184 nucleotides. RefSeq lists it as uncharacterized. The record is from RefSeq and is a predicted model, not a curated record. NCBI's taxonomy places the organism in Eukaryota, Metazoa, Arthropoda, Insecta, Hemiptera, Cicadellidae. The transcript has 3 exons.